GGAGAGGUGGCCGAGUGGCUGAAGGCGGCGGUUUGCUAAACCGUUGUAGGGUUAAAAGCCCUACCGAGGGUUCGAAUCCCUCCCUCUCCG
Molecule: transfer RNA, 90 nt
Filed under: Gemmatimonadota bacterium
Lineage: Bacteria; Pseudomonadati; Gemmatimonadota
Also listed under: 1 other name
Description: Gemmatimonadetes bacterium tRNA-Ser
Rfam family: tRNA
About the family: Transfer RNA (tRNA) molecules are approximately 80 nucleotides in length. Their secondary structure includes four short double-helical elements and three loops (D, anti-codon, and T loops).
Source: RNAcentral